GGGUUGUGAGGUUAAGCGACUAAGCGUACACGGUGGAUGCCCUGGCAGUCAGAGGCGAUGAAGGACGUGCUAAUCUGCGAUAAGCGUCGGUGAGGUGAUAUGAACCGUUAUAACCGGCGAUUUCCGAAUGGGGAAACCCAGUGUGUUUCGACACACUAUCAUUAACUGAAUCCAUAGGUUAAUGAGGCGAACCGGGGGAACUGAAACAUCUAAGUACCCCGAGGAAAAGAAAUCAACCGAGAUUCCCCCAGUAGCGGCGAGCGAACGGGGAGGAGCCCAGAGCCUGAAUCAGUGUGUGUGUUAGUGGAAGCGUCUGGAAAGGCGCGCGAUACAGGGUGACAGCCCCGUACACAAAAAUGCACAUAUUGUGAGCUCGAUGAGUAGGGCGGGACACGUGGUAUCCUGUCUGAAUAUGGGGGGACCAUCCUCCAAGGCUAAAUACUCCUGACUGACCGAUAGUGAACCAGUACCGUGAGGGAAAGGCGAAAAGAACCCCGGCGAGGGGAGUGAAAAAGAACCUGAAACCGUGUACGUACAAGCAGUGGGAGCCUCUUAAUGGGGUGACUGCGUACCUUUUGUAUAAUGGGUCAGCGACUUAUAUUCUGUAGCAAGGUUAACCGAAUAGGGGAGCCGAAGGGAAACCGAGUCUUAACUGGGCGUUAAGUUGCAGGGUAUAGACCCGAAACCCGGUGAUCUAGCCAUGGGCAGGUUGAAGGUUGGGUAACACUAACUGGAGGACCGAACCGACUAAUGUUGAAAAAUUAGCGGAUGACUUGUGGCUGGGGGUGAAAGGCCAAUCAAACCGGGAGAUAGCUGGUUCUCCCCGAAAGCUAUUUAGGUAGCGCCUCGUGAAUUCAUCUCCGGGGGUAGAGCACUGUUUCGGCAAGGGGGUCAUCCCGACUUACCAACCCGAUGCAAACUGCGAAUACCGGAGAAUGUUAUCACGGGAGACACACGGCGGGUGCUAACGUCCGUCGUGAAGAGGGAAACAACCCAGACCGCCAGCUAAGGUCCCAAAGUCAUGGUUAAGUGGGAAACGAUGUGGGAAGGCCCAGACAGCCAGGAUGUUGGCUUAGAAGCAGCCAUCAUUUAAAGAAAGCGUAAUAGCUCACUGGUCGAGUCGGCCUGCGCGGAAGAUGUAACGGGGCUAAACCAUGCACCGAAGCUGCGGCAGCGACGCUUAUGCGUUGUUGGGUAGGGGAGCGUUCUGUAAGCCUGUGAAGGUGUGCUGUGAGGCAUGCUGGAGGUAUCAGAAGUGCGAAUGCUGACAUAAGUAACGAUAAAGCGGGUGAAAAGCCCGCUCGCCGGAAGACCAAGGGUUCCUGUCCAACGUUAAUCGGGGCAGGGUGAGUCGACCCCUAAGGCGAGGCCGAAAGGCGUAGUCGAUGGGAAACAGGUUAAUAUUCCUGUACUUGGUGUUACUGCGAAGGGGGGACGGAGAAGGCUAUGUUGGCCGGGCGACGGUUGUCCCGGUUUAAGCGUGUAGGCUGGUUUUCCAGGCAAAUCCGGAAAACCAAGGCUGAGGCGUGAUGACGAGGCACUACGGUGCUGAAGCAACAAAUGCCCUGCUUCCAGGAAAAGCCUCUAAGCAUCAGGUAACAUCAAAUCGUACCCCAAACCGACACAGGUGGUCAGGUAGAGAAUACCAAGGCGCUUGAGAGAACUCGGGUGAAGGAACUAGGCAAAAUGGUGCCGUAACUUCGGGAGAAGGCACGCUGAUAUGUAGGUGAAGCGACUUGCUCGUGGAGCUGAAAUCAGUCGAAGAUACCAGCUGGCUGCAACUGUUUAUUAAAAACACAGCACUGUGCAAACACGAAAGUGGACGUAUACGGUGUGACGCCUGCCCGGUGCCGGAAGGUUAAUUGAUGGGGUUAGCGGUAACGCGAAGCUCUUGAUCGAAGCCCCGGUAAACGGCGGCCGUAACUAUAACGGUCCUAAGGUAGCGAAAUUCCUUGUCGGGUAAGUUCCGACCUGCACGAAUGGCGUAAUGAUGGCCAGGCUGUCUCCACCCGAGACUCAGUGAAAUUGAACUCGCUGUGAAGAUGCAGUGUACCCGCGGCAAGACGGAAAGACCCCGUGAACCUUUACUAUAGCUUGACACUGAACAUUGAGCCUUGAUGUGUAGGAUAGGUGGGAGGCUUUGAAGUGUGGACGCCAGUCUGCAUGGAGCCGACCUUGAAAUACCACCCUUUAAUGUUUGAUGUUCUAACGU
Molecule: ribosomal RNA, 2212 nt
Filed under: Escherichia coli
Lineage: Bacteria; Pseudomonadati; Pseudomonadota; Gammaproteobacteria; Enterobacterales; Enterobacteriaceae
Description: partial 23S ribosomal RNA
Rfam family: Bacterial large subunit ribosomal RNA
Source: RNAcentral